Molecule: ribosomal RNA, 491 nt
Filed under: uncultured bacterium
Lineage: Bacteria
Description: partial 16S ribosomal RNA
Rfam family: Bacterial small subunit ribosomal RNA
Source: RNAcentral
GUGCACGCUGGCGGUAGGCCUAACACAUGCAAGUCGAACGGCAGCACAGUAAGAGCUUGCUCUUACGGGUGGCGAGUGGCGGACGGGUGAGGAAUACAUCGGAAUCUACUUUUUCGUGGGGGAUAACGUAGGGAAACUUACGCUAAUACCGCAUACGACCUACGGGUGAAAGCAGGGGAUCUUCGGACCUUGCGCGAUUGAAUGAGCCGAUGUCGGAUUAGCUAGUUGACGGGGUAAAGGCCCACCAAGGCGACGAUCCGUAGCUGGUCUGAGAGGAUGAUCAGCCACACUGGAACUGAGACACGGUCCAGACUCCUACGGGAGGCAGCAGUGGGGAAUAUUGGACAAUGGGCGCAAGCCUGAUCCAGCCAUACCGCGUGGGUGAAGAAGGCCUUCGGGUUGUAAAGCCCUUUUGUUGGGAAAGAAAAGCAGCAGGUUAAUACCCCGCUGUUCUGACGGUACCCAAAGAAUAAGCACCGGCUAACUUCGUG